Molecule: transfer RNA, 74 nt
Filed under: Phycisphaerae bacterium
Lineage: Bacteria; Pseudomonadati; Planctomycetota; Phycisphaerae
Description: tRNA-Ile
Rfam family: tRNA
About the family: Transfer RNA (tRNA) molecules are approximately 80 nucleotides in length. Their secondary structure includes four short double-helical elements and three loops (D, anti-codon, and T loops).
Source: RNAcentral
GGGCCCUUAGCUCAGUCGGUUAGAGCAGCGGACUCAUAAUCCGCCCGUCCUCGGUUCGAGUCCGAGAGGGCCCA